GACGAACGCUGGCGGCGUGCUUAACACAUGCAAGUCGAACGGGAGUAUCGAAGAAGCUUGCUUUAGAGAUACUUUAGUGGCGGACGGGUGAGUAACGCGUGAGGAGCUGUCCGAUGCAGGGGGACAACAGUUGGAAACGACUGCUAAUACCCCAUAAGCCGAGAGGUAAAAGGAUUUAUCCGGCAAUGGAGGUACUCGCGUCCUAUCAGCUAGUAGGUGAGGUAACGGCUCACCUAGGCGAAGACGGGUAGCCGGCCUGAGAGGGCGAACGGCCACACUGGAACUGAGAUACGGUCCAGACUCCUACGGGAGGCAGCAGUGGGGAAUAUUGGGCAAUGGGGGGAACCCUGACCCAGCGACGCCGCGUGGGUGAAGAAAUCCUUCGGGAUGUAAAGCCCUGUUGUAUGGGAAGAGCGGAAGACGGUACCAUACGAGGAAGCCCCGGCAAACUACGUGCCAGCAGCCGCCGCAG
RNAcentral lists this ribosomal RNA (472 nucleotides) under uncultured bacterium. RNAcentral's name for it is "partial 16S ribosomal RNA". It matches the Rfam family "Bacterial small subunit ribosomal RNA", at positions 28 to 523 of the family's 1533-position model. The record is from RNAcentral.